AGAGAAAACAAGGGGGGGGGGGGGGGGUGAGGGGUGGAGGGAAUUGAGUCUUUCUUUUUCCCUUUUCAAUGACGGGGAACUUCCUCAUUGGCAAACUGAUUAAACACGCCCACCUCCGUGUAGCCAGUCCAACCCACUGUCCACUCACUUCCCUUUGGCAAGAAAAGCUGGGCACAUACCCCAGCACAGACACCCACAACCCCACCCAGUAAGAAGCAGAAGCUGAUUUUAUCUCUAAAUCAGGCUAAUGAUAAAAAUACCAGCAACUGCUCCGAUAUCAACACGAAAAAGACCUCAAUAGCAACCUGAUGUGUGAAUGUGGCGUCUUCAAACAGCUCUCUCUUGGCUUCUGCUCCAAGAAGCGGAGAAGGCAGCAGGCAGCAGCUUCAGUUUCUAAUGGACCCCAGCCACUUGGGGAACUACAAGAAAGAGAAAUGUAAUGAGUGACAAUGUUUUGUCAAAAACUGGCUACAGAUGUAAUAGGGAGAGCACUGUCCUUGGCGUUUUCUGCAUCUGAAAUCAAGCUCCGUAACCAAUACGACGACAUAGCUUUGAGCAUGUGACUUCAUCUCCAAGCCUCUGUGUACACAUCUGCAAGAAUGCGAUAAACUGAGGAACCACUUCUCAGAGAUGUGAAAGUACACCUUCCACAGGCCCGGAUGUUCACACAUACAGAGCAAAGAGGGGAGUGAGGCUUCCCCUCGCAAGGGCAAGUGGAAGGAUCUUCUGUCUACUGCAGCAAAAGAACAAAAGCAGACAAAAAGGAGGGCAUAGGGACGAGGUGUCCUAAUUCGCCUCAUCUGGAAAGCUGAGGGACAUCCAGUAGGAAAUCCUGGUUUCACUUGGGCCUCAAUUCCCAUCCCAACUAACGGGUGCCUGCUCUUCCGUACUGAUGUUUCUUCAGACAAACUCAGUGCGUCUCUAUUUGCCUGCGAAGACCUGCCCCUCACUCACCCCCCAGCUCCCACCUCUUCUUGAAAACGGUUUCUGAUGAUCUGACCUACUGCUGGAUCAGGCAUUCCCCUCUGUCUUCUCAUAAUCUGUCCCCAUGAACCUCUCACGUAACCUUCGUCACACCCCGAUAAAGAAGUUGGUCCUCUUACGCUUAUCCCUCCUCUAUAAAACCAGAAUGAGAUCUGCCUGACCUUCCCUGCAGGAAGCUGAUAUGCAUCAGGUGGAAAUUAUAACAACACAGCAACAAUUCGAGCUUGUACUUCUACACAACUGUGCAUUUAGAAGUCUUCUCUCCUUUAUUCUGUGAGACAGCCCCUUAGAACAACAGAGCACUAGAUAAAACUAAGGUGAAAUCAGGACCAUUAUUAACUAAUGCCAACUUCUAGGUUAUCUGGGCUUGGAUUGCGGCAGCUUACUUCAAAAUGCUGAUGGAAUCAUCAACUAUCUUUUUUGCCAAAUGUGAACCAGGGCUGCCAUCAGCCAAGAAUGGCCUGUCGAUUACAGAGAAUACGUCUAAAUGUCAUCCUCCUCAAAAGAGCUUUGGGCAAAGGACCUGCUCUAGCGGCAGCCAAUUCAUUCAUUAAGGAAAUUGAUUCUACCACGAAUCUAACACACUUAGGUGAUUAAGAAAGCAUCAUGUUCUUCAGCAACACACCUCCUGCCAGGGCCUUCCAUCAGCGGCCCAUCUCUGCCUAGCAGGGACACCACAGCAAGAACAGGCCUUGCCCUGUAUGGGUGAACCCACGGAGAGCUCCUCAUCUGGCAACGGGGCUGCGUGCUUCAUUUCCUUUCUUUUCCUUGGCAGGGGUGGGGGAUGGGGGGCUCAAUUCAAAAAACCUUAAGCAACUUAAUAGAAAAAAAAGUGUAAUUAUCUCUAAGUUUUAUCACUCCAAAUUCUUACUCAUUGUCUAAUAAAUAUACACUCGUAUCUAUGUCUUCUAAACAUUUUCUCAGAUUUUUUUAAAAUGCUGAUUUUCAAUAUAGUCUACACACUUGCCAGGUUUUAGCUAAAUUACUUCCCAUUGUUUCAACAAUUCAUAAUUGCACUGCCAUUUCUCCGUUGUUAGCAGAGCCUUUGAGUUAGUUCCCCAGUAUUUCACUAUAACUCACAUCUGUGCUUUUUUUUUUUUUUUAAUGUUUAUUUA
This is a long non-coding RNA of Prionailurus viverrinus (fishing cat), 2099 nucleotides long. RefSeq lists it as uncharacterized. Lineage: Eukaryota; Metazoa; Chordata; Mammalia; Carnivora; Felidae. The record is from RefSeq and is a predicted model, not a curated record. The transcript is spliced from 3 exons.